CCUACGGGUGGCAGCAGUGGGGAAUAUUGGACAAUGGGCGAAAGCCUGAUCCAGCCAUGCCGCGUGUGUGAAGAAGGCCUUCGGGUUGUAAAGCACUUUCAGUGGGGAAGAAAGCCUUGGGGCUAAUACCCUCGAGGAAGGACAUCACCCACAGAAGAAGCACCGGCUAACUCCGUGCCAGCAGCCGCGGUAAUACGGAGGGUGCGAGCGUUAAUCGGAAUUACUGGGCGUAAAGCGCGCGUAGGCGGUCUGAUAAGCCGGUUGUGAAAGCCCCGGGCUCAACCUGGGAACGGCAUCCGGAACUGUCAGGCUAGAGUGCAGGAGAGGAGGGUAGAAUUCCCGGUGUAGCAGUGAAAUGCGUAGAGAUGGGGAGGAAUACCGGUGGCGAAGGCGGCCUUCUGGACUGACACUGACGCUGAGGUACGAAAGCGUGGGUAGCAAACAGGAUUAGAUACCCCGGUAGUC
RNAcentral lists this ribosomal RNA (465 nucleotides) under Vreelandella stevensii. RNAcentral's name for it is "partial 16S ribosomal RNA". It matches the Rfam family "Bacterial small subunit ribosomal RNA", at positions 338 to 795 of the family's 1533-position model. The record is from RNAcentral. Lineage: Bacteria; Pseudomonadati; Pseudomonadota; Gammaproteobacteria; Oceanospirillales; Halomonadaceae.